RNAcentral lists this long non-coding RNA (1406 nucleotides) under Salmo salar (Atlantic salmon). Its description in RNAcentral is "lncRNA (ENSSSAG00000101394.1)". Lineage: Eukaryota; Metazoa; Chordata; Actinopteri; Salmoniformes; Salmonidae. The record is from RNAcentral.
UUUGACGAAAAGAUAACCACGUUGUUCCAGUACGUGAGGUCUGCAGCCUCUACGUUAGAAGGACACACAUGUCAACUAAGCCAACCUCGGCGUGAGCUAUGGUAUGAACUGGUAUGAACUUUGAGCUUAUUCACUACAGAAGUGCUACUUCCUAGCCGUUGAGUUAGCAGCGGCCGCUGUAGACGUGGGCUAGGAAAGGACGGACGACGGAUCCAGUCUAACAGACGGACGAAGAUACCACCACGCAUCCAAUUUACCACCAGAGACAUUCUUCCGAGUACAGGAAGAUCUGUUGGCCAACCCGGCCAGCAUCUACGACCAAUCUACCGAAGCGCAGCUCAGAGUAAAUAUUUAUUGCAUUUUCCUUUUCCAAAUGGGCGGUAAUUUAGAAUGCAUAAGAUAAUGUAUUUACGAUAGCAUAGCUGCUGUUUCUUUGUUCCUAAAUCUUCCCGCUCUUUCAUUCAAGCCCAACCCCCUUUCCUUUGUGUAACCAGCUUUCAUACAGGUUCCGUUUUUGUAUGACAUCAUAUGUAUUCGGUGUAUUUGUAAUUCUGUGUGAUAGGUUUAGGUAUUUAGUAAAUAAAUAAUUAAACCCUAUUUUGUAUUGCUGAUUCAACUUGUUAGCCAGGGUUCGUGAAGAUAGCCAAGAAUUUACAACUUUCAUUAUGAGACUGAAAAUAAGAUAAGGGUUAAUAUUGACUGCUAUCGAUGUAAAAUAUUACUAAGUAUUUUAAGAGUUUAUUCGGAAGAUAACGGCUCUAUAAACGUUCUUCCGUGGUGCCCCGACUUUCUAGUUAAUUACAUUUACAUGAUUAGCUUAAUCAGGUAAUAUUAAUUAGAGAAAGAAUUUUAUAGGUUAGCAUGUCAUAUCACUUAAUCCGGCAUAGCCAAAGACACGACAUAUGGCGCCCCGUGUGAGGACUCUAAAACUAAGACGCACGUUGGGUCAAUUUGAUAAUAUCACAUAUGACGCCCCGUGCGAGGAAUCUAAAAUAGGAUGACGCUUUCAUUUUGAUUCAGCCUAUAUAAAAUUGAAAAGCAGAUUACAUAAUAUACCAAGUUUAUUAUAUACAUUAUGGGAAUUGUAGACCGGAAUUAUUGGUGCGUGUGUGCUCUGGAGAAUCGCCUCCGUGUUGUGCUCUGAGUUACUGCCCAGAUAUUCCAGUCUGAACGACCAGACGACGGGUCCGGAACGGCGAUCCCAAUCCGGACAUCCGCUGCCGAGCCAUGGAACGGACUUCUUCAUUUGCAGAGACCCUACCCGGGUCGACCACCAGAGGGGGGACUGCAAUAGCAACCACCAACUGGACAUCUGCUGCCCAGCCUUGGAGCGGAUUUCUUCAUUUGCAGACACCCUACCCGGGUCGACCGCCAGAUGGGGACCACAACGAUGAUCCACAACCAGG